CAUAGGUUAAUGAGGCGAACCGGGGGAACUGAAACAUCUAAGUACCCCGAGGAAAAGAAAUCAACCGAGAUUCCCCCAGUAGCGGCGAGCGAACGGGGAGGAGCCCAGAGCCUGAAUCAGUGUGUGUGUUAGUGGAAGCGUCUGGAAAGGCGCGCGAUACAGGGUGACAGCCCCGUACACAAAAAUGCACAUACUGUGAGCUCGAUGAGUAGGGCGGGACACGUGGUAUCCUGUCUGAAUAUGGGGGGACCAUCCUCCAAGGCUAAAUACUCCUGACUGACCGAUAGUGAACCAGUACCGUGAGGGAAAGGCGAAAAGAACCCCGGCGAGGGGAGUGAAA
RNAcentral lists this ribosomal RNA (340 nucleotides) under Escherichia coli. RNAcentral describes it as "partial 23S ribosomal RNA". It matches the Rfam family "Bacterial large subunit ribosomal RNA", at positions 165 to 543 of the family's 2925-position model. The record is from RNAcentral. Lineage: Bacteria; Pseudomonadati; Pseudomonadota; Gammaproteobacteria; Enterobacterales; Enterobacteriaceae.